GUAUAUUUUCAUGUUAUUCUGUUUAUAAUGUUCAGUAUAUUUCAUGUUAUUCUGUUCAUAAUGUUCAGUAUAUUUCAUGUUAUUCUGUUUAUAAUGUUCAGUAUAUUUUCAUGUUAUUCUGUUUAUAAUGUUCAGUAUAUUUUCAUGUUAUUCUGUUUAUAAUGUUCAGUAUAUUUUCAUGUUAUUCUGUUUAUAAUGUUCAGUAUAUUUCAUGUUAUUCUGUUUAUAAUGUUCAGUAUAUUUCAUGUUAUUCUGUUCAUAAUGUUCAGUAUAUUUUCAUGUUAUUCUGUUAAUAAUGUUCAGUAUAUUUUCAUGUUAUUCUGUUCAUAUUGUUCAGUAUAUUUUCAUGUUAUUCUGUUCAUAAUGUUCAGUAUAUUUUCAUGUUAUUCUGUUUAUAAUGUUCAGUAUAUUUCAUGUUAUUCUGUUCAUAAUGUUCAGUAUAUUUUCAUGGUUAGUUACUAUUUUUAUACUACUAGCUACUAGUCUUUGCUAGCGGGCUUCACCUUUAGAUCAAAUAAUGCCUGCCAGUCUGCACAGGGCGAUAUAAACCCUGAGCAUAUAAACACUGAGCACAUCAACCCUGAGCACAUCAACCCUGAGCACAUCAACCCUGAGCAUAUAAACCCUGAGCAUAUCAACCCUGAGCACAUCAACCCUGAGCAUAUAAACCCUGAGCAUAUAAACCCUGAGCACAUCAACCCUGAGCACAUCAACCCUGAGCACAUCAACCCUGAGCAUAUAAACCCUGAGCACAUCAACCCUGAGCAUAUAAACCCUGAGCAUAUAAACCCUGAGCAUAUCAACCCUGAGCAUAUCAACCCUGAGCACAUCAACCCUGAGCAUAUCAACCCUGAGCAUAUCAACCCUGAGCAUAUCAACCCUGAGCAUAUCAACCCUGAGCAUAUCAACCCUGAGCAUAUCAACCCUGAUAAUAUCAACCCUGAGCAUAUAAACCCUGAGCAUAUCAAUGCUGAGCAUAUCAACCCUGAGCAUAUCAACCCUGAGCACAUCAACCCUGAGCAUAUCAACCCUGAGCAUAUCAACCCUGAGCAUAUCAACCCUGAGCACAUCAACCCUGAGCAUAUCAACCCUGAGCAUAUCAACCCUGAGCACAUCAACCCUGAGCAUAUCGACCCUGAGCACAUCAACCCACCCUGAGCACAUCAACCCUCAGCAUACCAGCCCUGAUAAUAUCAACACUGAUCAUAUCGGACUGCUUUUCUAAAUCACCAUAUUCCUGCCGUUAGAAUGGAUCAUCGCAGCUAGCUUGCUCCAACCGAGCGGCUAUUGUUGGCUAACGCCUGUCCCGAAGCUUGCACCAGUUAGCCUCAAGCUAAGCCCAUCUCCCGGCUAGCUGCCGAAGACCCAUCUGCUAGCCACGGCCCGCUAGCUUUCUGAACGCCGUGUCUCCUGCUCGCCUAGAGUAGUAAUCGACUAGUGAACGGCUCCCUGACUCAUCUAUUGCAGCUCAUUGGACCCUAUGAGCACUCGGCUACACAGCUGAUGCCUACUGGACGGUUCACCAACCCUGAUAAUAUCAACCCUGAGCACAUCAACCCUGAGCACAUCAACCCUGAGCAUAUCAACCCUGAGCAUAUCAACCCUGAGCAUAUCAACCCUGAGCAUAUCAACCCUGAGCAUACGAGCCCUGAUAAUAUCAACCCUGAGCAUAUCAACCGUGAGCAUAUCAACCCUGAGCAUAUCAACCCUGAGCAUAUCAACCCUGAGCACAUCAACCCUGAGCAUAUCAACCCUGAGCAUACGAGCCCUGAUAAUAUCAACCCUGAGCAUAUCAACCCUGAGCAUACGAGCCCUGAUAAUAUCAACCCUGAGCAUAUCAACCCUGAGCAUAUCAAUCCUGAGCAUAUCAACCCUGAGCAUAUCAACCCUGAGCACAUCAACCCUGAGCACAUCAACCCUGAGCAUAUCAACCCUGAGCACAUCAACCCUGAGCAUAUCAACCCUGAGCAUAUCAACCCUGAGCAUAUCAACCCUGAGCAUAUCAACCCUGAGCAUAUCAACCCUGAGCACAACAACCCUGAGCAUAUCAAUCCUGAGCACAUCAACCCUGAGCAUAUCGACCCUGAGCACAUAUAAUACCAGACUAUAGAUGACAGGUAGAGAGAUGGUAAUAAUACCAGACUAUAGAUGACUGGUAGAGAGAUGGUAAUAAUACCAGACUAUAGAUGACUGGUAGAGAGAUGGUAAUAAUACCAGACUAUAGAUGACAGGUAGAGAGAUGGUAAUAAUACCAGACUAUAGAUGACUGGUAGAGAGAUGGUAAUAAUACCAGACUAUAGAUGACUGGUAGAGAGAUGGUAAUAAUACCAGACUAUAGAUGACAGGUAGAGAGAUGGUAAUAAUACCAGACUAUAGAUGACUGGUAGAGAGAUGGUAAUAACACCAGACUAUAGAUGACUGGUAGAGAGAUGGUAAUAAUACCAGACUAUAGAUGACUGGUAGAGAGAUGGUAAUAAUACCAGACUAUAGAUGACUGGUAGAGAGAUGGUAAUAAUACCAGACUAUAGAUGACUGGUAGAGAGAUGGUAAUAAUACCAGACUAUAGAUGACUGGUAGAGAGAUGGUAAUAAUACCAGACUAUAGAUGACUGGUAGAGAGAUGGUAAUAAUACCAGACUAUAGAUGACUGGUAGAGAGAUGGUAAUAACACCAGACUAUAGAUGACUGGUAGAGAGAUGGUAAUAAUACCAGACUAUAGAUGACUGGUAGAGAGAUGGUAAUAAUACCAGACUAUAGAUGACAGGUAGAGAGAUGGUAAUAAUACCAGACUAUAGAUGACUGGUAGAGAUAUGGUAAUAAUACCAGACUAUAGAUGACUGGUAGAGAGAUGGUAAUAAUACCAGACUAUAGAUGACUGGUAGAGAGAUGGUAAUAAUACCAGACUAUAGAUGACUGGUAGAGAGAUGGUAAUAAUACCAGACUAUAGAUGACUGGUAGAGAGAUGGUAAUAAUACCAGACUAUAGAUGACAGGUAGAGAGAUGGUAAUAAUACCAGACUAUAGAUGACUGGUAGAGAGAUGGUAAUAAUACCAGACUAUAGAUGACUGGUAGAGAGAUGGUAAUAAUACCAGACUAUAGAUGACUGGUAGAGAGAUGGUAAUAAUACCAGACUAUAGAUGACAGGUAGAGAGAUGGUAAUAAUACCAGACUAUAGAUGACAGGUAGAGAGAUGGUAAUAAUACCAGACUAUAGAUGACUGGUAGAGAGAUGGUAAUAAUACCAGACUAUAGAUGACAGGUAGAGAGAUGGUAAUAAUACCAGACUAUAGAUGACAGGUAGAGAGAUGGUAAUAAUACCAGACUAUAGAUGACUGGUAGAGAGAUGGUAAUAACACCAGACUAUAGAUGACAGGUAGAGAGAUGGUAAUAAUACCAGACUAUAGAUGACUGGUAGAGAGAUGGUAAUAAUACCAGACUAUAGAUGACUGGUAGAGAGAUGGUAAUAAUACCAGACUAUAGAUGACUGGUAGAGAGAUGGUAAUAAUACCAGACUAUAGAUGACUGGUAGAGAGAUGGUAAUAAUACCAGACUAUAGAUGACUGGUAGAGAGAUGGUAAUAAUACCAGACUAUAGAUGACUGGUAGAGAGAUGGUAAUAAUACCAGACUAUAGAUGACAGGUAGAGAGAUGGUAAUAAUACCAGACUAUAGAUGACAGGUAGAGAGAUGGUAAUAAUACCAGACUAUAGAUGACUGGUAGAGAUAUGGUAAUAAUACCAGACUAUAGAUGACUGGUAGAGAGAUGGUAAUAAUACCAGACUAUAGAUGACUGGUAGAGAGAUGGUAAUAAUACCAGACUAUAGAUGACUGGUAGAGAGAUGGUAAUAAUACCAGACUAUAGAUGACUGGUAGAGAGAUGGUAAUAAUACCAGACUAUAGAUGACUGGUAGAGAGAUGGUAAUAAUACCAGACUAUAGAUGACUGGUAGAGAGAUGGUAAUAAUACCAGACUAUAGAUGACAGGUAGAGAGAUGGUAAUAAUACCAGACUAUAGAUGACAGGUAGAGAGAUGGUAAUAAUACCAGACUAUAGAUGACAGGUAGAGAGAUGGUAAUAAUACCAGACUAUAGAUGACAGGUAGAGAGAUGGUAAUAAUACCAGACUAUAGAUGACUGGUAGAGAGAUGGUAAUAAUACCAGACUAUAGAUGACAGGUAGAGAGAUGGUAAUAAUACCAGACUAUAGAUGACAGGUAGAGAGAUGGUAAUAAUACCAGACUAUAGAUGACAGGUAGAGAGAUGGUAAUAAUACCAGACUAUAGAUGACUGGUAGAGAGAUGGUAAUAAUACCAGACUAUAGAUGACUGGUAGAGAGAUGGUAAUAAUACCAGACUAUAGAUGACUGGUAGAGAGAUGGUAAUAAUACCAGACUAUAGAUGACUGGUAGAGAGAUGGUAAUAAUACCAGACUAUAGAUGACUGGUAGAGAGAUGGUAAUAAUACCAGACUAUAGAUGACUGGUAGAGAGAUGGUAAUAAUACCAGACUAUAGAUGACAGGUAGAGAGAUGGUAAUAAUACCAGACUAUAGAUGACAGGUAGAGAGAUGGUAAUAAUACCAGACUAUAGAUGACUGGUAGAGAGAUGGUAAUAACACCAGACUAUAGAUGACAGGUAGAGAGAUGGUAAUAAUACCAGACUAUAGAUGACUGGUAGAGAGAUGGUAAUAAUACCAGACUAUAGAUGACUGGUAGAGAGAUGGUAAUAAUACCAGACUAUAGAUGACAGGUAGAGAGAUGGUAAUAAUACCAGACUAUAGAUGACAGGUAGAGAUAUGGUAAUAAUACCAGACUAUAGAUGACUGGUAGAGAGAUGGUAAUAAUACCAGACUAUAGAUGACUGGUAGAGAGAUGGUAAUAAUACCAGACUAUAGAUGACAGGUAGAGAGAUGGUAAUAAUACCAGACUAUAGAUGACUGGUAGAGAGAUGGUAAUAAUACCAGACUAUAGAUGACUGGUAGAGAGAUGGUAAUAAUACCAGACUAUAGAUGACUGGUAGAGAGAUGGUAAUAAUACCAGACUAUAGAUGACUGGUAGAGAGAUGGUAAUAACACCAGACUAUAGAUGACAGGUAGAGAGAUGGUAAUAAUACCAGACUAUAGAUGACUGGUAGAGAGAUGGUAAUAAUACCAGACUAUAGAUGACUGGUAGAGAGAUGGUAAUAAUACCAGACUAUAGAUGACUGGUAGAGAGAUGGUAAUAAUACCAGACUAUAGAUGACUGGUAGAGAGAUGGUAAUAAUACCAGACUAUAGAUGACAGGUAGAGAGAUGGUAAUAAUACCAGACUAUAGAUGACUGGUAGAGAGAUGGUAAUAAUACCAGACUAUAGAUGACAGGUAGAGAGAUGGUAAUAAUACCAGACUAUAGAUGACUGGUAGAGAGAUGGUAAUAAUACCAGACUAUAGAUGACUGGUAGAGAGAUGGUAAUAAUACCAGACUAUAGAUGACUGGUAGAGAGAUGGUAAUAAUACCAGACUAUAGAUGACUGGUAGAGAUAUGGUAAUAAUACCAGACUAUAGAUGACUGGUAGAGAGAUGGUAAUAAUACCAGACUAUAGAUGACUGGUAGAGAGAUGGUAAUAAUACCAGACUAUAGAUGACAGGUAGAGAGAUGGUAAUAAUACCAGACUAUAGAUGACUGGUAGAGAGAUGGUAAUAAUACCAGACUAUAGAUGACAGGUAGAGAGAUGGUAAUAACACCAGACUAUAGAUGACAGGUAGAGAGAUGGUAAUAAUACCAGACUAUAGAUGACAGGUAGAGAGAUGGUAAUAAUACCAGACUAUAGAUGACUGGUAGAGAGAUGGUAAUAAUACCAGACUAUAGAUGACUGGUAGAGAGAUGGUAAUAAUACCAGACUAUAGAUGACUGGUAGAGAGAUGGUAAUAAUACCAGACUAUAGAUGACUGGUAGAGAGAUGGUAAUAAUACCAGACUAUAGAUGACUGGUAGAGAGAUGGUAAUAAUACCAGACUAUAGAUGACAGGUAGAGAGAUGGUAAUAAUACCAGACUAUAGAUGACUGGUAGAGAGAUGGUAAUAACACCAGACUAUAGAUGACUGGUAGAGAGAUGGUAAUAAUACCAGACUAUAGAUGACUGGUAGAGAGAUGGUAAUAAUACCAGACUAUAGAUGACUGGUAGAGAGAUGGUAAUAAUACCAGACUAUAGAUGACUGGUAGAGAGAUGGUAAUAAUACCAGACUAUAGAUGACUGGUAGAGAGAUGGUAAUAAUACCAGACUAUAGAUGACUGGUAGAGAGAUGGUAAUAAUACCAGACUAUAGAUGACUGGUAGAGAGAUGGUAAUAAUACCAGAC
This is a long non-coding RNA of Oncorhynchus keta (chum salmon), 6323 nucleotides long. RefSeq lists it as uncharacterized. The transcript has 7 exons. NCBI's taxonomy places the organism in Eukaryota, Metazoa, Chordata, Actinopteri, Salmoniformes, Salmonidae. The record is from RefSeq and is a predicted model, not a curated record.